Molecule: ribosomal RNA, 468 nt
Filed under: uncultured bacterium
Lineage: Bacteria
Description: partial 16S ribosomal RNA
Rfam family: Bacterial small subunit ribosomal RNA
Source: RNAcentral
GACGAACGCUGGCGGUGUGCUUAACACAUGCAAGUCGAACGGUAAGGCCCUUUCGGGGGUACACGAGUGGCGAACGGGUGAGUAACACGUGAGUAACCUGCCCUCAUCUCUGGGAUAACAGUCGGAAACGGUUGCUAGUACUGGAUAUGAGCUUGCAAGGCAUCUUGUGGGUUGGAAAGAUUUUUUUUGGUUGGGGAUGGACUCGCGGCCUAUCAGCUUGUUGGUGAGGUAGUGGCUCACCAAGGCUUCGACGGGUAGCCGGCCUGAGAGGGCGACCGGCCACAUUGGGACUGAGAUACGGCCCAAACUCCUACGGGAGGCAGCAGUGGGGAAUAUUGCACAAUGGACGGAAGUCUGAUGCAGCAACGCCGCGUGCGGGAUGACGGCCUUCGGGUUGUAAACCGCUUUCAAUUGUGACGAAGCUUUUUUGUGACGGUAGCAGUAGAAGAAGCACCGGCUAACUACGUG